Molecule: ribosomal RNA, 504 nt
Filed under: uncultured bacterium
Lineage: Bacteria
Description: partial 16S ribosomal RNA
Rfam family: Bacterial small subunit ribosomal RNA
Source: RNAcentral
AUUGAACGCUGGCGGCAGGCCUAACACAUGCAAGUCGAACGGUAGCACAGAGAGCUUGCUCUCGGGUGACGAGUGGCGGACGGGUGAGUAAUGUCUGGGAAACUGCCCGAUGGAGGGGGAUAACUACUGGAAACGGUAGCUAAUACCGCAUAACGUCGCAAGACCAAAGUGGGGGACCUUCGGGCCUCACACCAUCGGAUGUGCCCAGAUGGGAUUAGCUAGUAGGUGGGGUAAUGGCUCACCUAGGCGACGAUCCAUAGCUGGGCUGAGAGGAUGACCAGCGACACUGGAACUGAGACACGGGCCAGCCUCCUACGGGAGGCAGGAGUGGGGAAUAUUGCACAAUGGGCGCAAGCCUGAUGCAGCCAUGCCGCGUGUAUGAAGAAGGACUUCGGGUUGUAAAGUACUUUCAGCGGGGAGGAAGGCGGUGAAGUUAAUAACUUCACCGAUUGACGUUACCCGCAGAAGAAGCACCGGCUAACUCCGUGCCAGCCGCCGCCGUAA